RNAcentral lists this ribosomal RNA (590 nucleotides) under Naganishia adeliensis. RNAcentral's name for it is "eukaryotic LSU rRNA". It matches the Rfam family "Eukaryotic large subunit ribosomal RNA", at positions 45 to 624 of the family's 3401-position model. The record is from RNAcentral. Lineage: Eukaryota; Fungi; Basidiomycota; Tremellomycetes; Filobasidiales; Filobasidiaceae.
AAUAAGCGGAGGAAAAGAAACUAACAAGGAUUCCCCUAGUAACGGCGAGUGAAGCGGGAAGAGCUCAAAUUUGAAAUCUGGUAGCCUUCGGUUGCCCGAGUUGUAAUCUAGAGAAGUGUUUUCCGUGCCGGCCCAUGUACAAGUCCCUUGGAACAGGGCGUCAUAGAGGGUGAGAAUCCCGUCCUUGACAUGGACCCCCGGUGCUUUGUGAUACACUUUCAACGAGUCGAGUUGUUUGGGAAUGCAGCUCAAAAUGGGUGGUGAAUUCCAUCUAAAGCUAAAUAUUGGCGAGAGACCGAUAGCGAACAAGUACCGUGAGGGAAAGAUGAAAAGCACUUUGGAAAGAGAGUUAAACAGUACGUGAAAUUGUUGAAAGGGAAACGAUUGAAGUCAGUCAUGCUCUUAGGAUUCAGCCGUUCUGCGGUGUAUUUCCUUUGAGUGGGGUCAACAUCAGUUUUGAUCGAUGGAUAAAGGCACGAGGAAGGUAGCACUCUCGGGUGAACUUAUAGCCUCGCGUCAUAUACAUUGAUUGGGACUGAGGAACGCAGCAUGCCUUUAUGGCCGGGAUUCGUCCACGUACAUGCUAGGAU